GGCCAGGUGCUGGAAUGGUAGACAGGCUGGUCUCAAAAACCAGUGGUCAUAACAGACCGUGUGGGUUCGACUCCCACCCUGGCCA
This is a non-coding RNA of Candidatus Woesebacteria bacterium, 85 nucleotides long. The record is from Rfam. Lineage: Bacteria; Candidatus Woeseibacteriota.